UAGAUACCCUGGUAGUCCACACGGUAAACGAUGAAUACUCGCUGUUUGCGAUAUACAGUAAGCGGCCAAGCGAAAGCGUUAAGUAUUCCACCUGGGGAGUACGCCGGCAACGGUGAAACUCAAAGGAAUUGACGGGGGCCCGCACAAGCGGAGGAACAUGUGGUUUAAUUCGAUGAUACGCGAGGAACCUUACCCGGGCUUGAAUUGCAACCGAAUUACCUUGAAAGAGGUAAGCCGCAAGGCGGUUGUG
Molecule: ribosomal RNA, 250 nt
Filed under: uncultured bacterium
Lineage: Bacteria
Description: partial 16S ribosomal RNA
Rfam family: Bacterial small subunit ribosomal RNA
Source: RNAcentral